Molecule: long non-coding RNA, 917 nt
Organism: Lycium barbarum (goji berry)
Lineage: Eukaryota; Viridiplantae; Streptophyta; Magnoliopsida; Solanales; Solanaceae
Exons: 6
Source: RefSeq, a predicted model, not a curated record
AUCUUUUCUUAGUAAGUCAAACAUAGGAAUAAUAUAUAUGUACAGCAACAUUCUACUCCAUUUUAGAGGUCAUUCAUAUGAAUUCCCCUCUUCAUUCUUGGAGAAUUUUCUCUCCAGAAUAUCCGAAGAAACAUUGGGGUGAAGAAGAACCUCUCUCGCGUGGAAGCAAAUACGGAGAACGACAUCAAGAUUAUAAUAAUGUCGGUUUCUCCGGGUGAUAGCAAAUUAGAGAUUUUUUCAAAGUAAAGUAAAAUUGAAGGAUAGCAGUUCUUGGCAUAUAAGGAUUAGCAUCAGCAUUACGACGAGUUCGUUUUGGGUUUUAUAUUGGCAACUUAAGAUAUGACUUAGUUGCAUAUGGUUGCUCACUACUCUGCUCGUGCAUGCCGUAAUAUAUCUUUCACCGAGUCCCGGGCCGGAUUGUUCAAGCUUCGACGGUGAACAUUAAGUAGUUAAGAAGACCAAGAGAUUGGUGAAGCCCAAGACCUAAGUUAUGGUUAACUUGAGAAGAGACAAGGUACAGAUAGUCGGUUUGGUGACCCUUCAGCAUAGGAUUUCUACUCAGCUAUUUUGGAGAGCUCCGUUGUUCCGGAGUCUAGACUUUUGAUUCAGAUCUUAUGAUGUAUAUGUAGAUGUUUAUCCAGGGGUACGGCGGGGCCCUGUCCCGUCAUAUUUCGCUAUCGAUACUCUUAGAGGUCUGUAGACAUAUGUGUGGGUUGUGUAUAAGUUCUGCUCAGCUGUGUCUAUACGAUGUGCUAUGAUAUGAUGUUCGUCUGUAGUGGCAGCCUUGUCGGCUUGCAUAUGACAUUGAUAUGUAGUGGCAGCCUUGUCGGCUUGCAUAUGACAUUGAUAUGUAGUGGCAGCCUUGUCGGCUUGCGUAUCAUUUCAUGAUUUGAUUUGUUUUGACUCCGUAGGAGACA